Molecule: ribosomal RNA, 475 nt
Filed under: uncultured organism
Description: partial 16S ribosomal RNA
Rfam family: Bacterial small subunit ribosomal RNA
Source: RNAcentral
UACACUCCUACGGGAGGCAGCAGUGGGGAAUUUUGGACAAUGGGCGAAAGCCUGAUCCAGCCAUGCCGCGUGCAGGAUGAAGGCCUUCGGGUUGUAAACUGCUUUUGUACGGAACGAAACGGCCUUUUCUAAUAAAGAGGGCUAAUGACGGUACCGUAAGAAUAAGCACCGGCUAACUACGUGCUAGCAGCCGCGGUAAUAAGUAGGGUGCAAGCGUUAAUCGGAAUUACUGGGCGUAAAGCGUGCGCAGGCGGUUAUGUAAGACAGUUGUGAAAUCCCCGGGCUCAACCUGGGAACUGCAUCUGUGACUGCAUAGCUAGAGUACGGUAGAGGGGGAUGUAAUUCCGCGUGUAGCAGUGAAAUGCGUAGAUAUGCGGAGGAACACCGAUGGCGAAGGCAAUCCCCUGGACCUGUACUGACGCUCAUGCACGAAAGCGUGGGGAGCAAACAGGAUUAGAAACCCGAGUAGUCCCAU